This is a long non-coding RNA of Gopherus agassizii (Agassiz's desert tortoise), 1549 nucleotides long. The record is from Ensembl. Lineage: Eukaryota; Metazoa; Chordata; Testudines; Testudinidae.
AUUAUAUUCAGUAUAAUAAGACUGGGUGCUGACUCUUCUGAUUUCAGGUCAGUUCUCCAACAUCGUCUGGAAAGUAAUAGCUGGUGCCGCUGUGGCUGUGGUUGAGGCUGUGGUUAUUUUGACAGGAACUUUCUCUCCAAAGGUCAGGCAGUGUCCAGAAGAAUGGAUAUGUUUUGGAGGGAACGGGUAUUCUUUUUCCACCGAUACAAAGAGCUGGGAUGACAGUAAGGAGUACUGCGCCUCACAUGGCGCAACGCUUCCUAUGAUAAAAGAGAAACUGCAACUGAUGCAAAGCUGAAGUGUUCCUUCCUAAACAGUGACAAAAUUGUUACUGUAGAUUGCACAUCUUCAAGACGCUGGAUCUGUCAGAGUCCAAAUGAGUCUUCUUCAUCUCCAGUGAAGUUAGUAGUGCAAGCGUUAGAUUUCUGGGUUAUUCGCCAGACACACUUCAGAAGCCAUGAUCACGCUCCUCUGACAAGCUGGAAAAUCAGUCUUAAAUCUGAAAAGCCUACAAUUCUAACCUGCCUAAAAUCCCAAAUUGCACAUUAAGGCCACCUGAGAAUAGAUGUAGUAAGGUGUUGAGGACCCUCAUGUCCCACUGAAGGUACUUGGCAGUAUUAGACACUUCUAAACAGUUAGAUACUUUAAGUUUGUAUACUGUAGUGUAACUAUUUUUUAAACUAGAUCAUGUACAAGUUUUUCAUUGUAUUAAUUUUUAAUUCAGAAUGUGAACAACAAAUGGCAUUAUUUUAAUCCAAAGAUUAUCAGUCAGAUUAAUACAGGAAAAGACAUAUUUUACCACCUCUUGUACUACACGAUAGAUAAGCUAAAGGGAGUUCUAAUGUGGUCAUAAUUAAUAACAUCUGUGACAACAGCAGCUCUUAAUGAGUUAAACAUCUUUUAAUGGGCCAUUAAUUUCAGUCAUUACAAAAAACAUUUGCUAUAACAAGUACCUCUUAUUAAUCACAGAACAUAAUUUGAGCAUAGACAUCCCUUAUUAGUUACCCAGUCUUAUUUGUAACAUACUUUUAGUAGACACUUAUUACUUUGAGGGGUCUUUUCUUUAGACAUUUAGAUUCCCACAAGCUUGGAGACACCAGCAAUAAUGAGGUACAGCCCAAUACUCAAUCACUGGAAAUUCCUGGACACAAGUCACUCACAGGCUAAGAACCAAUAGUCUUUGUUAAGUCCCAGAGUAUCUUUGAAUUCUAAUAUAAAAGAUUCUGGGGAAAUAGUUAAUAUGCAAAUGAAUUAAUAUACAAAAAAAAGGGAACUAAAAAGAUUAAUAUUUACCAACAAGUAGUUGUAUAUAAAACUCAGCUAUACAAUGUCUUUGUAUAUAUUUUUUUGUCUGUCUGUGCUUGUGGCUCUUGCUCUCUCUAUAUGUUUUUAUCAUAACUGACUGAGAUAUUAACACAUCUUCAGUUAUUCUGAUCCUAUUCAUGCUUUCUUGGAGGGCAUCUGUGCCUUGAGGGAACACCCUAAACCCUCAUGUUCAUCUUUAUAAAAUGAUUGUGCAAUAUCCAAUGCAAAGUUUGUCAUACUGAGU